This 511-nucleotide ribosomal RNA is filed under the name uncultured bacterium. RNAcentral describes it as "bacterial SSU rRNA". It matches the Rfam family "Bacterial small subunit ribosomal RNA", at positions 17 to 518 of the family's 1533-position model. The record is from RNAcentral.
UUCUGGCUCAGGAUGAACGCUAGCUACAGGCUUAACACAUGCAAGUCGAGGGGCAGCAUUGGGAUAGCUUGCUAUUCAGAUGGCGACCGGCGCACGGGUGAGUAACGCGUAUCCAACCUUCCUGCCAGUAGGGAACAGCCCGGCGAAAGUCGGAUUAAUGCCCUAUGUUCUUCAAUGCGGACAUCUAAGUUGAAGGAAAGAUUCAUCGCUGGCAGAUGGGGAUGCGUCCGAUUAGCUUGCCGGCGGGUAACGGCCCACCGGGGCGACGAUCGGUAGGGGUUCUGAGAGGAAGGUCCCCCACACUGGUACUGAGACACGGACCAGACUCCUACGGGAGGCAGCAGUGAGGAAUAUUGGUCAAUGGGCGUAAGCCUGAACCAGCCAAGUAGCGUGCCAGGAUGACGGCCCUACGGGUUGUAAACUGCUUUUAUGCGGGGAUAAAGUGCGGCACGUGUGCCGCUUUGCAGGUACCGCAUGAAUAAGGACCGGCUAAUUCCGUGCCAGCCGCCGC